RNAcentral lists this ribosomal RNA (156 nucleotides) under Selenia aurea. RNAcentral's name for it is "5.8S ribosomal RNA". It matches the Rfam family "5.8S ribosomal RNA". From Rfam's summary of the family: 5.8S ribosomal RNA (5.8S rRNA) is a component of the large subunit of the eukaryotic ribosome. It is transcribed by RNA polymerase I as part of the 45S precursor that also contains 18S and 28S rRNA. Functionally, it is thought that 5.8S rRNA may be involved in ribosome translocation. Lineage: Eukaryota; Viridiplantae; Streptophyta; Magnoliopsida; Brassicales; Brassicaceae. The record is from RNAcentral.
AAAANGACUCUCGGCAACGGAUAUCUCGGCUCUCGCAUCGAUGAAGAACGUAGCGAAAUGCGAUACUUGGUGUGAAUUGCAGAAUCCCGUGAACCAUCGAGUCUUUGAACGCAAGUUGCGCCCUAAGCCUUCUGGCCGAGGGCACGUCUGCCUGGG